This is a non-coding RNA of Pelobates cultripes (western spadefoot toad), 454 nucleotides long. The record is from the annotation of a GenBank genome assembly. Lineage: Eukaryota; Metazoa; Chordata; Amphibia; Anura; Pelobatidae.
AUUCCUCUGCAGCUCUCCUUCCAGGCAGGUAUCGUCCCCUCUGCCUAUUCCUCUGCAGCUCUCCUUCCAGGCAGGUAUCGUCCCCUCUGCCUAUUCCUCUGCAGCUUUCCUUCCAGGCAGGUAUCGUCCCCUCUGCCUAUUCCUCUGCAGCUCUCCUUCCAGGCAGGUAUCGUCCCCUCUGCCUAUUCCUCUGCAGCUCUCCUUCCAGGCAGGUAUCGUCCCCACUGCCUAUUCCUCUGCAGCUCUCCUUCCAGGCAGGUAUCGUCCCCUCUGUCUAUUCCUCUGCAGCCUUCCUUCCAGGCAGGUAUUGUCCCCUCUGCCUAUACCUCUGCAGCUCUCCUUCCAGGCAGGUAUCGUCCUCUCUGUCUAUUCCUCUGCAGCUCUCCUUCCAGGCAGGUAUUGUCCCCUCUGCCUAUUCCUCUGCAGCUCUCCUUCCAGGCAGGUAUCGUCCCCU